RNAcentral lists this ribosomal RNA (2838 nucleotides) under human gut metagenome. RNAcentral's name for it is "bacterial LSU rRNA". It matches the Rfam family "Bacterial large subunit ribosomal RNA". The record is from RNAcentral.
AGGGCGCACGGCGGAUGCCUUGGCACAGGAAGUCGACGAAGGACGCGGCAAGCUGCGAUAAGCCCCGGGGAGUGGCAAACACACCUUGAUCCGGGGAUCUCCGAAUGGGGGAACCCAGCAGGGGUCAUGCCCUGCUACCCACGCCUGAAUCAAAUAGGGCGCAGGGAGGCAACCGGGGGAACUGAAACAUCUAAGUACCCCGAGGAAGAGAAAUCAACCGAGAUUGCGCGAGUAGCGGCGAGCGAAAGCGCACCAGCCCAAACCCGGGCGCGUGUAAGCGGCAGGCGUUGCCGCCCGGGGGUUGCGGGACUCGCGUCCAGGUGCUGCCCACCUGGGAGCGGUUACAAAUCCACAUGGUAGCGGAACGGCAUGGAAGGGCCGGCCGCAGCGGGUGAGAGCCCCGUACGCGAAACCAUGCGGACCGCUGACGAGUAUCCCGAGUAGGGCCGGGCACGUGAAACCCGGUCCGAAGCCGGGGGGACCACCCUCCAAGGCUGAACACUCUCCUGUGACCGAUAGCGAACCAGUACCGUGAGGGAAAGGUGAAAAGCACCCCGAGAGGGGAGUGAAACAGUACCUGAAACCGUGCGCCCACAAGCAGUCGGAGCAACCUUGCGUUGUGACGGCGUGCCUUUUGUAGAAUGAGCCAGCGAGUUGCGGUGUGCGGCGAGGUUAAGUUUGGAAACGAGCCGCAGCGAAAGCGAGCCUUUAAGAUGGCGAGUGAGUCGCACGCUGCAGACGCGAAGCCGGGUGAGCUAUCCUGGGGCAGGCUGAAGCGGGGGUAAGACCCCGUGGAGGGCCGAACCCACUUCGGUUGAAAACGGAGGGGAUGACCCCAGGAUAGGGGUGAAAGGCCAAUCAAACCCGGAGAUAUCUCGUUCUCCCCGAAAUAGCUUUAGGGCUAGCCUCGGCCGUUAACCCGCGGUGGUAGAGCCACCGGAUCGACGAGGGGGCUUCACCGCCUACCGACUCGAACCGAACUCCGAAUGCCGCGGGUCGAGAGGCCGGGAGUCAGAGGGCGUGGGCUAAGCUGCGCGCUCGAGAGGGAAACAGCCCAGACCGCCCGCUAAGGUCCCCAAGUCAUCGCUGAGUGGCAAAGGAUGUGCGUCUGCCCAGACAACCAGGAUGUUGGCUUAGAAGCAGCCAUGCAUUUAAAGAGUGCGUAACAGCUCACUGGUCGAGUGGACAUGCGCCGACAAUUCACGGGGCUAAGCGAUGCACCGAAGCGGCGGACUGAGAAUUCAGUGGUAGGGGAGCUCUCCGCGGGGGGCGAAGCAGCAGGGCGACCUGCUGUGGACCGCGCGGAGGUGAGAAUGCUGGCAUGAGUAACGAGACCAGGGCGAGAAACCCUGGCGCCGUGAGCCUAAGGGUUCCUGGGCGAGGCUAAUCCCCCCAGGGUCAGUCGGGAGCUAAGGCGAGGCCGAGAGGCGUAGCCGAUGCGCAGCGGGCAGACAUUCCCGCACCGCCGACGGCGCGGCAUUACCGAUGGGGCGACGGAGAAGGGUAGCCGGGCGGGGUUCUGGACGUCCCCGUGAAAGCGCGUAGGGCGCGCAGCGUGGAAAUCAGCUGCGCACGGGGCCUGAGACGCGAGACGAAGCGAGCGAGCGAAGCCGGUGAGCCCAUGCUUCCGAGAAAAACCUCUAGGGAGUGCCGUCGGCGCCCGUACCAAAACCGACACAGGUGGGCGGGUAGAACAUACCGAGGCGAUCGGGAGAACCACGGUUAAGGAACUCGGCAUACUGGCCCCGUAACUUCGGGAGAAGGGGCGCCCCCGCCGGUGAAGGCACUUGCUGCCGGAGCUAGUGGGGGCCGCAGCGAAACGGCCCAAGCGACUGUUUAUCAAAAACACAGGACUCUGCAAAGCCGCAAGGCGACGUAUAGGGUCUGACGCCUGCCCGGUGCCGGAAGGUUACGCGGAUGCGUCAGCCGAAAGGCGAAGCGCUGAAGCCAAGCCCCGGUAAACGGCGGCCGUAACUAUAACGGUCCUAAGGUAGCGAAAUUCCUUGUCGGGUAAGUUCCGACCUGCACGAAUGGUGUAAUGAUCUGGACGCUGUCUCAACCGUGAGCUCAGUGAAAUUGUAGUAUCGGUGAAGAUGCCGAUUACCCGCGAUGGGACGAAAAGACCCCGUGAACCUUUACUAUAGCUUAGCAUUGAAUUUGGGCACGCGAUGUGUAGGAUAGGUCGGAGGCUUUGAAGCAGGCACGCCAGUGUUUGUGGAGCCGCUGUUGAAAUACGACCCUUUGUUUGUUUGAAUUCUAACUCUUGGUAAGAGGACAUUGCUUGGUGGGUAGUUUGACUGGGGUGGUCGCCUCCAAAAGCGUAACGGAGGCUUCUAAAGGUGCCCUCAGGACGAUCGGUAACCGUCCGCAGAGUGUAAUGGCAUAAGGGCGCUUGACUGGGAGACAGACAAGUCGAGCAGGUAGGAAACUAGAGCAUAGUGAUCCGGUGUUUCCGUAUGGAAGGGACAUCGCUCAAAGGAUAAAAGGUACUCCGGGGAUAACAGGCUGAUCCCUCCCAAGAGCUCAUAUCGACGGAGUGGUUUGGCACCUCGAUGUCGGCUCGUCACAUCCUGGGGCUGGAGAAGGUCCCAAGGGUUGGGCUGUUCGCCCAUUAAAGUGGCACGCGAGCUGGGUUCAGAACGUCGUGAGACAGUUCGGUCUCUAUCUAUCGUGGGCGUAUGAAAUUUGCGUGGCUCUGACACUAGUACGAGAGGACCGUGUUGGACCGACCUCUGGUUUACCGGUUGUGCCGCCAGGUGCAUCGCCGGGUAUCUAAGUCGGGAUCGGAUAAGUGCUGAAAGCAUCUAAGUACGAAGCCGGCCACAAGAUUAGAUUUCU